Molecule: ribosomal RNA, 497 nt
Filed under: uncultured bacterium
Lineage: Bacteria
Description: partial 16S ribosomal RNA
Rfam family: Bacterial small subunit ribosomal RNA
Source: RNAcentral
GAUGAACGCUGGCGGCGUGCCUAAUACAUGCAAGUCGAGCGAACAGACGAGGAGCUUGCUCCUCUGAUGUUAGCGGCGGACGGGUGAGUAACACGUGGAUAACCUACCUAUAAGACUGGGAUAACUUCGGGAAACCGGAGCUAAUACCGGAUAACAUGUUGAACCGCAUGGUUCAACAGUGAAAGACGGUCUUGCUGUCACUUAUAGAUGGAUCCGCGCCGCAUUAGCUAGUUGGUAAGGUAACGGCUUACCAAGGCAACGAUGCGUAGCCGACCUGAGAGGGUGAUCGGCCACACUGGAACUGAGACACGGUCCAGACUCCUACGGGAGGCAGCAGUAGGGAAUCUUCCGCAAUGGGCGAAAGCCUGACGGAGCAACGCCGCGUGAGUGAAGAAGGUCUUCGGAUCGUAAAACUCUGUUAUUGGGGAAGAACAAAUGUGUAAGUAACUAUGCACGUCUUGACGGUACCUAAUCAGAAAGCCACGGCUAACUACGUG